UAUGUGUGUGUGUAUGUCCAUG
Molecule: microRNA, 22 nt
Filed under: Rattus norvegicus (Norway rat)
Lineage: Eukaryota; Metazoa; Chordata; Mammalia; Rodentia; Muridae
Description: rno-miR-466b-5p
Gene: rno-miR-466b-5p
Source: miRBase by way of RNAcentral